AUAAUGAAUAAAGAAUAAUGAGUAAAGAAACAUAGAAAGAGUUACAGAGAGCAAACGUGAGAAAGAAAGAAGGAAAGAAAGAAAGAAAUAGAAAAGGGAAAUUUGAGGAUUAAGGCCCUAAAGUUUAAUUGGCUAGGUACGAAAGUAUAAGGACUCAGCAUACAAGCCGAUCCCCAAACUCAAAUUGGUGAAGUUUCUAUCUUUUUGGAAAAUGGCAUUGUACCUAGGAUGUCUUUAAGUUAUUUUGAAAGUAUCUAAGUUGUUAAAUGAUAUUUUGGUAUGUUUUGUAAAUGUUACCAAAACCUUAAGUAUGGUAUGUUUUGAUAUGUUAGUGAAGAGUAAUAAGAGGAAUUGUUGGUAAA
Molecule: long non-coding RNA, 362 nt
Organism: Gossypium arboreum
Lineage: Eukaryota; Viridiplantae; Streptophyta; Magnoliopsida; Malvales; Malvaceae
Exons: 2
Source: RefSeq, a predicted model, not a curated record